CGAAUUGCCUUCCCGGGAUCGGAAUCCAUUAUAGUGCCCUAUCACAUAACAAAGACCAAUGCCUAAAUCGAGGCCCCUGUACGGAGGGUGGUCAACUAUACAUUAUUAUGUAAACCAGGUGAGCACGUCACUUUGCUGAGAGGUAUUCAGAUAGGACCAAGGUCAGUUGGAAAAGAAGGAAGUCUCACUGCUAUAAUUUCCACAUGUAGGCCGAAAUUCUGACACUGAAACUGCAGUAAUCUGUUAGGGAACUCGCUUUCCAAUAAAGAAGCAAGAAGAUUAUUCCAGUUGUCCAGAGACAUGUUAUUCCAUCUUAAACAAAGCAAGAAGACAAGGCAGUGACUCUUAACUACCGUUUAUGAAAAUGGAUUCGCCCCCAACAAAGAUAUCUACUUCGUGUUCGACAGCGCCCGCACCCAUGUCAAGAUUGUCUCACUUGCCGAAGUUUGUCUUAUAGUUAAUUUGCAGGGUUGACAUUUGAUUUGGUUUAAAAUGUAAUGUUUGUAUUGUGUUGUAAUAAUAUUCUGCAUCAGAACGUGCAUCAAACUAAGAGCAGCGUGUAACGGGUGUUUUAUUCACGGAACUUCUGGUAAAAAUGAACCAAAUCCAAGCAUCAACCCUGCACGUCACUAGUUUAUUGCUUGAGAUAUGUAAAUAAGUCGUAGCACAGCUCUCUAUUUACACACGGCGUACUUAUUGUAAUUUGUUUAUUUUUUGUUUAUACCUAUAAAUUCUUGAACCUGAAAGGACAGUUUUGGAGUGCUCUUUAAACAGAAGUCAUUGAAAUCAUUUUCGUGCUUAAGUGAUGCAUAAAAACGAAAAAUUAUUUUAAAAAAUAUUGUAGAAUUAUCACUAAGUGAUGUCCAGGUAGAACGUGAUGCUGGCACGACUGGUUUUCUGUUUGACUGUAAAAUAUGUGUGGGCGAAUAUGUAAUAAGACUAUUUGUUUAUUCAUAUCAAAUUGGAUACAAAUACUUAUUUUGAUGAAGUUCAAUUUUGAAAAGGAAAAAAUGUCGCACUUCCAUUACGUAAAAUGCAUACAGGAAUCUUUUAUUGUGGGUGCAUUUGAAGAAGUGAAAUAGAAGUAAAUAUUCAAUAAACUGUUAAUACAAAUCAUUAUAUUAAAAUAACAGCAGUAUGAAAUUGUAAAAUGUGCUCAAGUUAUUGCAGAAAUGUCCACACUUAUUGAAACGGAUUUUUCUAAAAUUGUGAAUAUGCGGUAAUGACGCAUGCUAUGAAUGAAUGGUUUCCGGUGUUUUGAUAUAGUUUGUCUGAUCAGUGACACACCCAUAGUUUUAUUGCUGUGAAGGGGUAGAAAUGUUUGUGUUUUCAGAAAAUCAAACCUGGGGUUGGGGCAGUUUUUUUUUUUUUUUUUUUUUUUUUUUACAAAAUUAAUGUUUUUGUUUUUACAGAAGGGAAAUUGACCUUUCGCCUGCAGAACAAAGAGGAAAUGUUUGAUGUUCACAAAAAA
Molecule: long non-coding RNA, 1471 nt
Organism: Lingula anatina
Lineage: Eukaryota; Metazoa; Brachiopoda; Lingulata; Lingulida; Lingulidae
Source: RefSeq, a predicted model, not a curated record